This 348-nucleotide ribosomal RNA is filed under the name uncultured bacterium. RNAcentral's name for it is "partial 16S ribosomal RNA". It matches the Rfam family "Bacterial small subunit ribosomal RNA", at positions 338 to 700 of the family's 1533-position model. The record is from RNAcentral.
CCUACGGGAGGCAGCAGUGGGGAAUAUUGGGCAAUGGGCGCAAGCCUGACCCAGCAACGCCGCGUGAAGGAAGAAGGCCCUCGGGUGGUAAACUUCUUUUGUCAGGGACGAAGAAAGUGACGGUACCUGACGAAUAAGCCACGGCUAACUACGUGCCAGCAGCCGCGGUAAUACGUAGGUGGCAAGCGUUAUCCGGAUUUACUGGGUGUAAAGGGCGUGUAGGCGGGACUGCAAGUCAGAUGGGAAAUUCCAGGGCUCAACCCUGGAACUGCAUUGGAAACUGUAGUUCUUGAGGGAUGGGGAGGCCGGCGGAAUUCCGUGUGUAGCGGUUACCUGCGUAGUUAUCCG